Molecule: ribosomal RNA, 31 nt
Filed under: Sabal causiarum
Lineage: Eukaryota; Viridiplantae; Streptophyta; Magnoliopsida; Arecales; Arecaceae
Description: partial 18S ribosomal RNA gene
Source: RNAcentral
UUCCAUAGGUGAACCUGUGAAAGGAUCAUUG